Molecule: ribosomal RNA, 432 nt
Filed under: uncultured eukaryote
Lineage: Eukaryota
Description: bacterial SSU rRNA
Rfam family: Eukaryotic small subunit ribosomal RNA
Source: RNAcentral
CAAGAGCGUAUAUUAAAGUUGUUGCAGUUAAAAGCUCGUAGUUGGAUUUCUGGUACAACGCGCCUGGCCCGCUUUUGUGAGUGCCGGUGCGCGUUUGCCAUCCUUCUAGAAAACGUCUCUACUCGGGCAACUGGGCCGGAUUCGCGAUCUAGAUCUUUUACUUUGAAAAAUUAGAGUGUUUAAAGCAGGCUAUUGCCUUGAAUACAUUAGCAUGGAAUAAUAAUCUAGGACUUCGGUUCUAUUUUGUUUGGUUUCUUAGAGCUGAGGUAAUGAUUAAUAGGGAUAGUUGGGGGCGAUUCGUAUUUAACUUGUCAGAGGUGGAAAUUACUUGGUAUUUGUUUAAAGUACGGACUACUGCGAAAGACAUUUGUCCAAGGAUGUUUUCUAUUGAUCAAGAACGAAAGUUAAGGGGAUCGAAGACGAUUAGAUACC